GUGCUCACUUUGGCAGCACACAUAUUAAAAGUGGAAUGAUGCAAAGAUUAUUAGCAUGAUCCCCACAAGGAUGACAAGCAAAACUGUAAAUUGUUCUAUUUUUUA
Small nuclear RNA from Cercocebus atys (sooty mangabey), 105 nucleotides. Lineage: Eukaryota; Metazoa; Chordata; Mammalia; Primates; Cercopithecidae. The record is from Ensembl.